Molecule: ribosomal RNA, 393 nt
Filed under: uncultured bacterium
Lineage: Bacteria
Description: partial 16S ribosomal RNA
Rfam family: Bacterial small subunit ribosomal RNA
Source: RNAcentral
AUACGUAGGGGGCGAGCGUUGUCCGGAAUGAUUGGGCGUAAAGGGCGCGUAGGCGGCCCGGUAAGUCUGGAGUGAAAGUCCUGCUUUUAAGGUGGGAAUUGCUUUGGAUACUGUCGGGCUUGAGUGCAGGAGAGGUAAGUGGAAUUCCCAGUGUAGCGGUGAAAUGCGUAGAGAUUGGGAGGAACACCAGUGGCGAAGGCGACUUACUGGACGGUAACUGACGCUGAGGCGCGAAAGUGUGGGGAGCAAACAGGAUUAGAUACCCUGGUAGUCCGCACAGUAAACGGUGAAUACUUGUUUUCGGCGAUAUAAUGUCGGAGGCAAAGCGAAAGCGAUAAGUAUUCCACCUGGGGAGUACGCCGGCAACGGUGAAACUCAAAUGAAUUGGCGGGU